This is a long non-coding RNA of Amaranthus tricolor (Joseph's coat), 1315 nucleotides long. RefSeq lists it as uncharacterized. The record is from RefSeq and is a predicted model, not a curated record. The transcript has 3 exons. NCBI's taxonomy places the organism in Eukaryota, Viridiplantae, Streptophyta, Magnoliopsida, Caryophyllales, Amaranthaceae.
UCCCUGCCAAGAAAAUUAAUUAUCGAUGAAUUAAUUAGUAUGCUUUGAAGCAGCAAUCUUAUUCUUAAGAACAAAGAUCGUAACAAUGAGUCCAAGGUCUGUUGCAAAUGAAGAAUUACUUCAGGGGAGCUAGCUAAGAGUCCAACAGUAUCAUGCUUGGCCCUGCCGUAAGAGUGCAUAACAGCAUAAGAGAUCGACUAAUAUGCAGUUUGAACUACUUUUAAUCUUUAGCCUUUAUUAAAAACCGAGUAGGUUUGUACUUCUGUAACACCCCGAGAUUUUCUGAUGUCAUUAAUUAGUAUUUUAAUAACUUUUGGGGAUUUUAUAAUUAUGUUAAAUUAAUUUAGAAGUAGUUUUAAUAAACUCUUUUCAUAUACGAAUUCAAAUAUUAACAUAUAUUUAUAUUAAAAAUACAAUUAUAAUUUCUAAAUAAAGACGUUCGAAUCAAAAUAAUUAUUUUAUUAAAAUGAGUGAGCACACGAAAGUGAGUCUCUUAGUUGGGUCUCGCAAGAAAAUAAAUCUAGAUAAAUAAAUAAAUAAGUGUAUAUAUUAAAUAAAUAGGAUGAGUUAGAGUUUUAAGGGGUAUUACUCCCUCCCACACUCAAUUCACACGCCGUCACUCCCCCUCUCUUCUCUUCUCUCUUUCUCUUCUCCCUUUCCCCUUGUUGUGCCGCCAAUAGCUGGCUCUCUAUCAGCUGCUCACGACCAGCCUCAGUUCACCACCAUCAGGCCGCCUGCCUUUUUCCCUCCACCGUGAGCAGCCACCAAGCAAGGUAGACCCUCUUCCUCCCCACGAACAAUCAUGAGCAGCAGGUGGUUGUGUCGCCUGUUCCCAGCUGCGAGCAGAGCUGCGUGUUGCUCUCACAGCAGCUGGCGGCCCCUAGUGCCACCAACUCCCCACCUUGGUCCUCCACCACCACAACAACCACCUAAAAUCUUACCCUUUUCUAGUUCCUCCAUUGUGCCCAUUUCGUAAGAGGAAAGUAGAGCCUUAGUUGGAUGAUUUUGUGACUUUUGAUCGUGCAGUGACGCUUACAGCAGGAGGAUCAUAGAACAGGCGUACCAGGUACUGGAGCUUCAAUUGCAUUGCAUUGCAUUGGGAGAGAGUGAUAAGGGCGAAGCAUAACCCGUGUCAUACUGCUAUCUUUCGAUUUUGUAGCUCUGGUUAUCUUUUGUAAACUUUGGUUGUAUAUGUUUUGUUAUGAGGCCUUGUGUCCUUCCUCGUAUAUUGUAUUUCCGCUGCGUAGUUAAUAACUCUGUAUGGUUUUAAGGAAUUAAGUCUUUUUAAAACGCAAACGUCGACACUGGAACCACG